UCAUCUCUCCACCUUCCACCCCCUACUUCCUUCCUGCUCACCUUGCAAAUGUUGUUGGCUUGUUCUGGAUUCAGCAGCUGUCUUUUGUCUGACCUCUGGUUCUUGGGGCUUGAGCUAGCAGCUUACUUGUCUAUCUUGGGAUUCGCUGAUCUUCACAGCCUGCAAGCAAGAGUCCUGCUCCCCAACCUGCCUGUCUUGGGUUCACCAGCCCCUGCAGGUGGGUUGAGACCAAUUGAUGCAUCUUAGAUGGCUGCUUGCUUGCGUUUAAGACCCCAGACGCCUCUCUCCAAGGAAUACAGUAGAUCACCAGGUUCUUCUUUCUAGUCUGUCUUUGUCUGGAAGCUCCACUGAAAUCUGUCCAUUAAAGAUGGCCCCGCUGGUAUUUGAAAUACUAGUGGCAUAGCUUCCAGCUAUGUGGGUAUCACAGCAAUACCCACACCACCACAGUACAACAAACUGACAGACAAAUGGAGGUGAAAGGCCUUAAGAGUAGAAUACUGUGGGAGAAGAAAUUCUGCCUCAAGACUGCAGCAUCAGCUCCUGCCCAAGAGUUCCCGGCCUGCUUGAUUAGCCUACAAAUUUUGGAUUUGUCAGACCCCACAGAUCAUAUAUAACAAGAGAGAAGCGAGCAGAGAGGAGAGGGACCUCUACCAUCAAGAAAGAAGAGACCGGAGAGGAGCGCAUUCCUUGGACCCAGGGUCCGAACACUGAGAAAAUUCUAGACCCAGGGGAAGAUUGAAGACAAAGACCGUCCCCCAGAGCUGACACAGAGAGAAAGCCUUCCCCUGGAGCUGGCGUCCUGAAUUAGGACUUCUAGCCUCCCAGACAGUGAGAGAAUAAAUUUGUUUGUUAAAGCCAUCCACAUGCAGAGUUUCUGUUAUAGGACCAAUAGAUGAUUAAGACAGAGGCAUAUCACUCACUUCAAUCCUCUACUCAGGAUUUUCCAAAACUAAAAAUCUCCAUGGUAAAUUUAUAAGGGUAUCCUGAACGACAGAAAAAUAAGCUAUAAGAAACUAUCAUGACAAGUGCUCUGUUGUACUGUUCAAAGUUUUUUUUUGUUUUCUGUUUUGAGGCUGGGCAUUUAAGACACAUCAGCUUUAAAAAAGAAAAAAAAUCACACAAAUGUGUAUUUUACAUAUUUGAUUUCAAACACAUAUACUCAGUGUUGACCAUGACUUUCAGAGAGGUAUUAUUUCUUCCUUUAAUUGGAAAAUGCGUGUGCAAAAGCUCAACCGUCCACUCAUGCCUGCAGCAGAGCUCGCGUCAGUUCUAGUGAGACUCGCCAGAGGAAGUCCGAUUCUUAGCAACAUUUCAGGGAAGAUCUAUUAGCUUAAUGGGCCUGCAAAAUUUCACAAGAAAAUGGUCUCUGAAGCAGUUAAGGCUUUGGAAAGAAUCUCACAUGGAACCAGUUAUUCUGAUUUACUCAUAUAUUUUAAGAGGCACUGUCUUGCCUCAAUUGUUUAAAUUAAAAAUGGGGUUAUAUUUAGAAAGAAAUUUAGUUCAGUUGCAAGCUGUAGUUUUAGGUUAGUUUAUAUAUUCUUCUCAUAUUUCUUCUGGUUACUAUUUAAAAUUCAGGAAGAGAUACAGCUUCUAAAAAUUGGACAUAGAUAUUGACAAGAAGGAUAUAAAGGAGGAGCUGUAACAGGAGUUAAUCCCCAGGCUCAAUAUAUCCCUAGGUUUCCCUUCAACUAUAAAAACAACCAAACCAGCCUCCAGUUUAAAAUGUUUUUACUGCUUAUAAUACAGUACACUCAUUGACUCAUUCCAAACCAAAAAUAGUGCCAGGAACAUAAGUACCUCUCCAAUAAAUCUGUGUCUUCCUCUAGCCAAGUUUCUAAAAUUAGUCUUCUUUUCCCCAACCAAUAUUUAGCUGUACCUACUUUAUCUAAUAAAGUAAACCUCAUGAUUCUCGAAAUAACUUAUAGGAAGGCAGGCUUGAAUUACACACCAUUUAUAUAUUCGCUUAUUCAUGCACACAUUCAUUUGCUCUUAUAACUAUUAUCUACUAUGUGCAAAGCAUUGUACUAAGUAAGUGCUAGGAUGUAAUGAUGAGCACACAGAAACACACUUAAUACUUUUUAGAAAGUUCCAACUAGAAAUAUAUUUUAGUAAACAGGUAAGAAUGAAGAAUAACUUAAAAUUAGCAUACUUUUAUUGUAUGGAAAUGGAUGCUACCAGGAUUCUUAAAAAACACUGCUCUCUAAAGCAAAUUAAACAUGUCCAUUCUCCCCCAUCCAAAUUAUUAAAUUUGUACGAUUAAUUUAAUACAUAUAAUAGCAUAGCUACACGAGGCCACUCAUCCCGAAUGUCUCAGUCUGCCUAAAAGGAAAGGAUGUUCCAAAAAGCUUACAUAUUUGGCCCUCAAGUCACUCAACAAGUUAAAAGUAUGACAAAACUAAAACUCAGAUAUCCUGCCCCUUAGCCCAGUGUUUCUUUUCUAUUACAGAGCAGAUUCUCUCUAAAAGACAAAUCACAAAUUCUGAACAAACUGGUCCAAAAUCAGUUGCCAACUUUGUAUGCAUCACCCCAGACACUGAAUUUUAAAUAAUUCGCCCGUUGUUUAAGUUUCAGCAAAGAGCUUGAUCAAGCAGUGAUUUACUUAAUGUGAGCAUUUGUUUUAACAUUUAACAAAAGAAGGGCAAAGAUUCAGAAAAGGCCGAGUGCCAACGCCAGAAUGGGUAUGAGCUUCCAGGGGCUACGGACUUCAGAUCAGUCCCUUGUGCUGUAUGACAUCAUGGACUAUCAGUGGUACACUGGCGAAGAAUAUUUCCAUCCUUUUAGGAAAGAACGCAGACAUUUUCUCCUUUCUCACAUUAAUCUAAGACUAAAGGCUGUUGACACUGCCUAUCGAAUUAUUCUUGGAAGUCAGUUUCUGAAAUUCAGCAUUCAAUGUCUGCAUUUCUCAUUUAAAAAAAGAAAAAAAAGCCUAACGCUGUAUAGAGCUCUCCUCCAAAAUUAUUUAGCUUCCUUCUAUCUUCCUUCUCGUCUUUUACGAGUAAAUUAGCCAGGUAGAGAGGUCUGCUUCAAUUAAAAAUCCAAGUUUCAAGGCUUUUUGACAAAGUAGCUCCUUCAUUCACGUAAAGGGGAAAAAAAUACAGAAACACUUUCCCCAGAGGAGACGAGAAAGUUCAUUUUAAAAUCUGUAGUUACACAGGCCAACAACAGUUCUUUAAUUUAACGUUUCAUUAGUCUCUAAAUUAUAAACAACUCUAGGGCAGACAGUUGCUUGCAUUUAUCUAUGUUUAUAUGAUUAAAUCAGGAAGUGCUCACAUCAAAACACCGUUCUCAGGAGCAUCAAAUGCCAGAAACAUGUUAUUAGAAACACUAGAGUUUUUUUUUUUUUUUUUAGAGUUUAGUCUACCAGCUUGCACAACACUUCUGCCUUUUCUCCUCAUCCUAAGAAUGUGAGGAGGAUCUGCAACACUGGGCCCAGAGGGAAAGAGCAAUGAGCCAAGAUGGUCCCCAAGUACCCUACAACAACAGGAGAAAGGAAAAGGGAUGCAUGCACUGGGCCCAGAAGCAUGUCCUCUUCCCACUCAUCCUCUAGAAACAAUUCCCCCUGACAGAGAUUAUGUUGUUUGAUCAGCAUUUCAAUUAUGGGUUGCAGCGCCCACCAAGGGGGAAGGUAGGUCCAACGCAAACACGCUGUUCCCUGUAUUUUCAAUGUACAGAACAAAAAAAUUUCAUCUGAUGUUAUGUACCUCACCUGCUUUUUCAAAGGAUUCACUGAGUUAAGUCUGACAACCUCCUCAGCUCCACCUGCUCAUCACUGUCAAGUAAACUGUCUUUGGUUUCUCUUCCACCCUUCCUCUAAGCUUAGGCUAGCCUCUAAUUUUGUACUGAUUAAAAGCACAAUCCCAAUUAAAGACUUAUAUUUUACCUCUUUUAUAAAAGCCAGCCCCACUGAAAUGAGAAGUGGAAACCAAAAAAUAGAAGAAACAAAUUUUUAAAGUCAUAUUGGCCUGGCUUUGAAAGUAUCCCAGCUCUGCCACCAGUAACUGUCAAUAUUUGGACAAAUUAUUUGGAUUAUUCAUCUUUAGUUUCUUCAAAGCCUCUCUGAGGAUUAAGUGAAAUAAUUCACAGAAUAAUCUAAAAAGCAUAGUGCAUAAGUAUUCAAGUGUUAAUUAAUAAUAACUGCACAGACAUUAGCAGCAUCGAGAAUUAUCCUCUCCAUAUAUAGUAAAAAUUUAAAAAUAUAUUUAGAAACUUUCUUCAGACCAGCAACUAUAACACAAAGACAAGGAAAGUACCACUAGAGAGAAUUUAGCAUGCUAUGAACACUUUAUAACAGAAAUGUCUUCAAGGGUUUAAUCUAAACCAAAAGAAAAGCCCAUCUCUGAUUACAGUGUCUUUAUGAAUGUACCCAAACAAAAGUGAGAGUGUUAGAAUGUCUAUAUAUAAAAAGCAAAAUGACAAUGCUUAUUUUUAAGGUCCAAUCCACAGUUAUUAUGUCUUGCAGAGAGCACUGCAUGCCACCAAAAAAAAAA
Molecule: long non-coding RNA, 4487 nt
Organism: Loxodonta africana (African savanna elephant)
Lineage: Eukaryota; Metazoa; Chordata; Mammalia; Proboscidea; Elephantidae
Exons: 4
Source: RefSeq, a predicted model, not a curated record